UACGUAGGGUGCGAGCGUUAAUCGGAAUUACUGGGCGUAAAGCGUGCGUAGGCGGUGAUGUAAGACAGGUGUGAAAUCCCCGGGCUUAACCUGGGAACUGCAUUUGUGACUGCAUCGCUGGAGUGCGGCAGAGGGGGAUGGAAUUCCGCGUGUAGCAGUGAAAUGCGUAGAUAUGCGGAGGAACACCGAUGGCGAAGGCAAUCCCCUGGGCCUGCACUGACGCUCAUGCACGAAAGCGUGGGGAGCAAACAGG
This 253-nucleotide ribosomal RNA is filed under the name uncultured bacterium. RNAcentral describes it as "partial 16S ribosomal RNA". It matches the Rfam family "Bacterial small subunit ribosomal RNA", at positions 524 to 776 of the family's 1533-position model. The record is from RNAcentral.